This 718-nucleotide ribosomal RNA is filed under the name uncultured bacterium. RNAcentral's name for it is "bacterial SSU rRNA". It matches the Rfam family "Bacterial small subunit ribosomal RNA", at positions 56 to 772 of the family's 1533-position model. The record is from RNAcentral.
UGCAAGUCGAACGAAGCAUUUGCGACAGAUUUCUUCGGGAUGAAGUUGCUUAUGACUGAGUGGCGGACGGGUGAGUAACGCGUGGGUAACCUGCCUUGUACUGGGGGAUAGCAGCUGGAAACGGCUGGUAAUACCGCAUAAGCGCACAAUGUUGCAUGACAUGGUGUGAAAAACUCCGGUGGUAUAAGAUGGACCCGCGUCUGAUUAGCUAGUUGGUGAGAUAACAGCCCACCAAGGCGACGAUCAGUAGCCGACCUGAGAGGGUGACCGGCCACAUUGGGACUGAGACACGGCCCAGACUCCUACGGGAGGCAGCAGUGGGGAAUAUUGCACAAUGGAGGAAACUCUGAUGCAGCGACGCCGCGUGAGUGAAGAAGUAAUUCGUUAUGUAAAGCUCUAUCAGCAGGGAAGAUAGUGACGGUACCUGGCUAAGAAGCUCCGGCUAAAUACGUGCCAGCAGCCGCGGUAAUACGUAUGGAGCAAGCGUUAUCCGGAUUUACUGGGUGUAAAGGGAGUGUAGGUGGCCAUGCAAGUCAGAAGUGAAAAUCCGGGGCUCAACCCCGGAACUGCUUUUGAAACUGUAAGGCUAGAGUGCAGGAGGGGUGAGUGGAAUUCCUAGUGUAGCGGUGAAAUGCGUAGAUAUUAGGAGGAACACCAGUGGCGAAGGCGGCUCACUGGACUGUAACUGACACUGAGGCUCGAAAGCGUGGGGAGCAAA